CCCUUAGAGUUUGAUCCUGGCUCAGAGUGAACGCUGGCGGCAGGCCUAACACAUGCAAGUCGAACGGCAGCGGGUCCUUCGGGAUGCCGGCGAGUGGCGGACGGGUGAGGAAUACAUGGGAAUCUACCCUGUCGUGGGGGAUAACGUAGGGAAACUUACGCUAAUACCGCAUACGACCUUUGGGUGAAAGCGGCGGACCGCAAGGCGUCGCGCGACUGGAUGAGCCCAUGUCGGAUUAGCUAGUUGGCGGGGUAAAGGCCCACCAAGGCGACGAUCCGUAGCUGGUCUGAGAGGAUGAUCAGCCACACUGGAACUGAGACACGGUCCAGACUCCUACGGGAGGCAGCAGUGGGGAAUAUUGGACAAUGGGCGCAAGCCUGAUCCAGCCAUGCCGCGUGGGUGAAGAAGGCCUUCGGGUUGUAAAGCCCUUUUGUCCGGAAAGAAAAGCUUCGGGUUAAUACCCCGGGGUUCUGACGGUACCGGAAGAAUAAGCACCGGCUAACUUCGUGCCAGCAGCCGCGGUAAUACGAAGGGUGCAAGCGUUACUCGGAAUUACUGGGCGUAAAGCGUGCGUAGGUGGUUUGUUAAGUCUGAUGUGAAAGCCCUGGGCUCAACCUGGGAAUUGCAUUGGAUACUGGCAGGCUAGAGUGCGGUAGAGGAUGGCGGAAUUCCCGGUGUAGCAGUGAAAUGCGUAGAGAUCGGGAGGAACAUCUGUGGCGAAGGCGGCCAUCUGGACCAGCACUGACACUGAGGCACGAAAGCGUGGGGAGCAAACAGAUUAGAUACCCUGGUAGUCCACGCCCUAAACGAUGCGAACUGGAUGUUGGGAGCACUAGCUCUCAGUAUCGAAGCUAACGCGUAAGUCGCCGCCUGGGGAGUACGUCGCAGACUGAACUC
Molecule: ribosomal RNA, 897 nt
Filed under: uncultured bacterium
Lineage: Bacteria
Description: bacterial SSU rRNA
Rfam family: Bacterial small subunit ribosomal RNA
Source: RNAcentral